This 834-nucleotide ribosomal RNA is filed under the name uncultured bacterium. RNAcentral describes it as "bacterial SSU rRNA". It matches the Rfam family "Bacterial small subunit ribosomal RNA", at positions 28 to 896 of the family's 1533-position model. The record is from RNAcentral.
AAUCAACGCUGGCGGCGCGCUUAACACAUGCAAGUCGAACGAGAAAGUGGAGCAAUCCAUGAGUACAGUGGCGUACGGGUGAGUAACACGUGGGUAUCUACCUUCUGGUGGGGGAUAACCCUGGGAAACCGGGGCUAAUACCGCAUAAUCCCGUGAGGGAAAAGGAGCAAUUCGCCGGAAGAGGAGCCCGCGGCUGAUUAGCUAGUUGGUGAGGUAAUGGCUCACCAAGGCGAAGAUCGGUAGCCGGCCUGAGAGGGCACACGGCCACACUGGCACUGAAACACGGGCCAGACUCCUACAGGAGGCAGCAGUGGGGAAUCUUGCACAAUGGGGGAAACCCUGAUGCAGCGACGCCGCGUGAACGAUGAAGCCCUUCGGGGUGUAAAGUUCUUUCGGCAGGAACGAUAAUGACGGUACCUGAAGAAGAAGCUGCGGCUAACUACGUGCCAGCAGCCGCGGUAAUACGUAGGCAGCAAGCGUUGUUCGGAGUUACUGGGCGUAAAGAGUGCGUAGGCGGUCUUUUAAGUUUGGUGUGAAAUCUCCCGGCUCAACUGGGAGGGUGCGCCGAAAACUGGAAGGCUUGAGGAUGGGAGAGGCAUGCGGAAUUCCUGGUGUAGCGGUGAAAUGCGUAGAUAUCAGGAGGAACACCUGCGGUGUAGACAGCAUGCUGGACCAUUUCUGACGCUGAGGCACGAAAGCGUGGGUAGCAAACAGGAUUAGAUACCCUGGUAGUCCACGCCCUAAACGAUGCAUACUUGGUGUGAGCCAUUCAUUUGGUUCGUGCCGGAGCUAACGCGUUAAGUAUGCCGCCUGGGGAGUACGGUCGCAAGGCUG